CCCGGGUUUGCAGGAGAGAUUGGCUCAGGACAUGAACCUGCAGCCAGCUCAGGUCUAUAACUGGUUUGCAAAUUAUCGACGACGUCAAAAAUCCCGUAUCCAUUGUGAGGAAAAGCUUAACUACUUGUGCCCUGAGGGGACCUUGACACACCAUGCAAAGGAGCAGCAGGAUAGAGGAUCCUACACUCCACAAACUGCAGGUGGAUCUUAUGUAGGCAUCAGCUCUGAGCAGACAGGGAUAAACCUCAUGCCCUGUGACCCAGGGUGGGAGCAGUCAGCUACAGACUUGGAUAAGUCUCCAGAAGGAAUGUAUUUAAAGAUGCUGGAAUCCAGCUUUAUUCAGAGCAGCGCACUGUGUGAAGCAAGGACAAGCAAGGCGUUGAUGGCUCACGUCACUGAACAACCCGUAGCUUUUUUCAGUGAGGCUGUGCUGGAACCAGGAACCUGCUUUAACUCUGCCGUCCUGCAGCCCAGAGAAGCAGCAAGCAGUACUGAUGCUGGCCCCCAGCUGGAUAACUUUGUUGUGUGCUCUUGUGGGUCCCUUAUCUUCCCAGGUGAACGUCUGGCCACGUGGCAGGCCCCUUCCAGCACCACAGGAGUCUCUGGCUCCAUGUGGACCCCAAAUAUAGAAGUUCCCAUCAGACUGUGGCUGGCAAGCCUCAGUGCCCACCUGUUUCUGCACCCCGCAUGGAAGAAAGCCAAGCCAUGGGACAAGGCCAGGUGCUGGAGGAUCCAGUGGAUCCAGUUGGUGACCCAUUAA
Molecule: long non-coding RNA, 760 nt
Filed under: Anser cygnoides (Swan goose)
Lineage: Eukaryota; Metazoa; Chordata; Aves; Anseriformes; Anatidae
Description: lncRNA (ENSACDG00005016011.1)
Source: RNAcentral